AUUCCUCGCUAUGAUGAUAAACUUGAUCCCAGCUCUAUGAGACCGAAAGGUCAGGGACUAGAACUUGUUCCAACACACAUUUGUCUGAGCCUCGGAAU
Molecule: non-coding RNA, 98 nt
Organism: Cicer arietinum (chickpea)
Lineage: Eukaryota; Viridiplantae; Streptophyta; Magnoliopsida; Fabales; Fabaceae
Source: Rfam